AUGCAUUGGUACACUUCGUGGAAGUUAUGUUACCCAAAGAAUGAGGGUGGUAUGGGAUUCCGAGACCUUUACUCCUUUAAUCUAGCAAUGCUUUCGAAGCAAUGUUGGAGACUUGUCACUCCACAUUCUUUAUGUGCCCGGGUGCUGAAGGCGAAGUACUUCCCAAACUGUAGCAUACUCGAAGCCACUUUGAAAUAUGGCGCAUCUUUUACCUGGCAAAGCAUCAUGAAGGGAGUUGAUAUGUUCAAACUGGGAUAUAUAUGGAGGAUUGGGAAUGGUUACUAGAGCGUCAAAAUUUGGAAUGAUCCCUGGGUACCAGCAAGUCCGGAUAGAAAUAUGAUCUCUGCACGUGGGCAGACUGUGUUGUCAAGAGUUAGCGAUCUAAUAGACCCAAAUACUGGGAUGUGGGACGAAGAUCUUCUUCUAUCUAUUCUGAACCCAGUGGACGUUCGGAGAGUGCUGCAAAUCCCACUUAGUUACAACUCAUUUGAGGAUUUUAUCGCUUGGCAUGCAGACCGAAGGGGAAUAUUUUUAGUAUGGUCUGCGUACCAACUGCAACGGAGUCAUACUUACCAGGCGUAG
RNAcentral lists this ribosomal RNA (582 nucleotides) under Triticum aestivum (bread wheat). RNAcentral's name for it is "partial small subunit ribosomal RNA". Lineage: Eukaryota; Viridiplantae; Streptophyta; Magnoliopsida; Poales; Poaceae. The record is from RNAcentral.